UACAGAGGCCCCAAGCGUUAGCCGGAAUUAUUGGGCGUAAAGCGUCCGCAGGCGUCCCGCCGCAUCUUUGGUGAAAGCCCACGGCUUAACCGUGGAAUGUCCAAAGAGAUGGGCGGGAUUGAGGCAGGGAGAGGUCAGCGGAACUCCUGGUGAAGCGGUGAAAUGCGUUGAUAUCAGGGGGAACAUCAAUGGCGAAGGCAGCUGACUGGUCCUGUCCUGACGCUCAGGGACGACAGCGUAGGGAGCGAAGCGG
Molecule: unclassified non-coding RNA, 253 nt
Filed under: uncultured bacterium
Lineage: Bacteria
Description: contains 16S-23S intergenic spacer region
Rfam family: Bacterial small subunit ribosomal RNA
Source: RNAcentral